Molecule: ribosomal RNA, 428 nt
Filed under: uncultured prokaryote
Description: bacterial SSU rRNA
Rfam family: Bacterial small subunit ribosomal RNA
Source: RNAcentral
UGAGGAAUUUUGCGCAAUGGGAGCAAUCCUGACGCAGCAACGCCGCGUGGGUGAUGAAGGCCUUCGGGUCGUAAAGCCCUGUCAGGUGGGAAGAAUGUCCCGGAACUGAACAGGUUUCGGGAGUGACGGUACCACCAGAGGAAGCACCGGCUAACUCCGUGCCAGCAGCCGCGGUAAUACGGAGGGUGCAAGCGUUAUUCGGAAUUACUGGGCGUAAAGCGCGUGUAGGCGGUCCUGCAAGUCUGAUGUGAAAGCCCCGGGCUUAACCCGGGAAGUGCAUUGGAAACUGCAGGUUUUGAGUACUGGCGAGGAUGGGGGAAUUCUCGGUGGAGAGGUGAAAUUCGUAGAGAUCGGGAGGAAGAUCAGUGGCGAAGGCGCCCAUCUGUACGGUAACUGACGCUGAGACGCGAAAGCGUGGGGAGCAAACA